GCAUUGAUACAGGGGUGGUGCAGCACGGUAGCAUGAUAUACCCUGGCUGCAAAAGGCUUGCUGCCCAGUCCAAGGCCAGCAGUGUUGUGUCUGGCCUGUAAGAGGCAGGUAGCAAGCCAUGAAUAUGUCCAAAGGCCCUCGAAUGCCAUUCCUGGGCCUUGUAAGAGGCACUUGCUUUGCUCCAUUUCACUUUCUUUCCAUUCUGCUUUUUAGUUUGUUUUUGUUUUGGAUUCUUUUAACAGUUAAGUGUUCUUCUGUCUCAUUCCAUUAAGCUUAACCAUGUCAGAUAUAAUAGAGAAAUAUUUUCACAGGCUCUUAAAUGAUUAAACUAAUAUUUCUCAAAAGUACUCACUUGGAAUUGGAAAAAAUGAUCCUUUGAAACUGAGAAAAGGUAUUUAAAGGCAGUUUCUAUCUGAGAGCUUUGUUCAUUCAGUAUAUUUGGCCAGUAAUCUUUAUCAAGUUGAUGUUAAAAUGUCUAUUUUUGCUUCUUCUGAAGCAUAUAUACUUCUUAUCUCUGAGGAUGUAGAACAUUAAUUACUUAUAUUCACAUGUUCCUAAGCAACAUGUAUUUAUAAAUUGAUACACUCCUAAAAUUUAUGUGGAUGUAUGAUUUCCCUGGCUUUGAAGAUGCUCUAGGCCUUCCUCGUAUUUGCCCUUAAACUGAACCCUUGAGUUCCCAAAGUUUAGGCUUUCUUUGUUUGUCUUUGAAACUACAUCUUCUGUCUCUUGUCAUCAUAUCUGCUUAUUGCGUGUUUUUCAUACUUUCCACCUCUCUUAAGAGCUGUUACCUGAGCCCUUGUUAUCACUUUUGAUUGUGCUGCACUUAGCUGCAUUUCUAAGUUUCUGAUUCUUGCAAGUUUUGUGGAAACACAGGAGUCUUUAACCCACAUCAGCCUUGAUCUAAACGUACCACUUUACUUAAAAGUUCGUGGGAUCUGGAGCUCCUGGUCUAGCAAGCCAUGAAAAUGCCAAUAAAUGUUUUGUAAUAAAGCUUUUAUUUAAACAUCCAUUUUGUUCGACCUUGAAGCUUUACUAAUAUGCUGAAGAACAAACAGCCGAUGCCAGUGAAUAUUCGAGCUUCGAUGCAGCAACAACAGCAGCUAGCCAGUGCCAGAAACAGAAGACUGGCCCAGCAGAUGGAGAAUAGACCCUCUGUCCAGGCAGCAUUAAAACUUAAGCAGGUGAGAGAAUGUGUCUUAAUGCUCUGAAGCAGCUGGUGGUCUGUGUCAGUCCGCUGAGUGCCAUGGAUGAUGACAGAGGCUCAGGGCCAAACCUGAAGCUUCUAUGAAAGGGAAGUUCAGAGAAUUCCAAUUUUGGCAGGUACUGAUAAAUAAUGUUUUAUUAUUUCUGUUUUAGGGAGUUUGCCAUCUGUGUGGCCUGUUUGUGUUAUCAGUGACUAUUAAUCUCUUACGUUUGGUCCUUUACCCUAAAAGUGGAUUUAAUGGAUUUUUUUUGAUACAAAGAACCUUUGUUUCAGGUUGGGGUAUAGCUCAAAAGAAGAGCACUUGCCUACCAUGUGCAAGGCCAUGGAUUUGAUCCCCAGCACUGCCCAAAAAAAGAGAAGGAAAGAAACUAUUUGUGUUUAGAUGAUCUUCAAAAUAUCCUUUACUUCCUGUUAAGUGAUCUAUAUCCUAGGGAAAUAAUUUUAUUCUUCCCUAUACAGGGAAUUUGGCCUUAGUCAAAAGUUUUCAGUGCUAAAAUAUACAAAAAGUAUAGUGACUUUUGUUUCCACAGCACCUGAAGUUUUAUCAGUACAUUAGAGCAAGAGUUCUGAGUAGCUAACUUAAGAAUUAGUGAGGUUCUCUUUCAAAUUUCCAGUAAGAGAUAAAUCUAUUCAGACCUGAAAUAAAACCUGCUCUUUAUUAUUCAUAGACUUUAUAUGCAAGUCCGGACAUUGGCUGUGGAAGGAUAUGUCCAAGCUGUGGCUGGGCGUCCGGAGGGCGAUGCCAUGCAACUGUAAGGACUUUAACUGGUAGCACUGCAUGGCUGUGCAUAAAUUCAGCAGUUAAAUAUAACACCCUCCCACCCUUAUUCUGAACCACUGGCUCACUGACCAAAAAUAAACAAGGCUUUCUGCUUCAGUUACCUUAAGCCUUGUAGGACUGGAUCCAUCUCUGACUCGGGAAAGCCAGAAGCAAAAGGCACCAACAAAGGACCUUUCAGCAUGAAGCUUUCAGUAUAGGCUGUGCGAGAAGUAACCUCCAGAGCAACACUGUCAGACGCUUCUGUGAUGAUGGAAAUGCUCUGCGCUGUCCAGUACAGUAACCACUAGCCACAUACGGCUAUUCAGAACUUUAAAUGUAGCUAGUGCUGUGGAGGAGCUUCAAUAGCCACAUGUGUCCAGUGGCUGUCUCAAAUAGCAGCUUUAGAGUGGAAACCAGUGGUAUAGUGGACAUCCUUAAGUGUCCUAUCAAUGUUAGAAGCCAAGAUUGGUAGCAGCUAGGGAUGGGGAUAGGAGGAGAACUCUAGGCACUGUGUAGUUCUUCAUUGAAGCAUAGAACUCGGGAGAAUCGAUAUAUUCAGGAAAACUGAACAUAAGGCACUUACAGAAUAUAGUCUUGACCUCAUGAUUGUGUGCUGGGGCUCUGAGUGUAGCUCAGUGGUAGAGCAUGCGUAAGGGUAUGGAUUUGACCCCUAGCACUACAAAAACAAAAUAAUUGUGUGCUAAGUAGAAGAGUGAGGACAGUCCCUUAAAGUUGGUUGCACCUCCUGUGCUAGAUGUCUUUCUCUACUGAUCAGAAGCGGCUUGUUAUCUUUAUCUUGUGCCUAGGAAGUUAUGCCUCACAGCACAAGAGGGCUACUAUUGGCCAGAGGGGGACAAGUUAUUUGUGGGUUGAACCUGAGUGUGCAUAAACUUCAUUUACAUUCAUGUUGUAGAAAAAUAGGCCUUGGUUGUGUGUUCAAAGCUACAUUGAUGAAAUUUCUUUUGAAGAAUUUUUUAAGAUGUGAUCCUCAAGGAUUUAUUUUUUUGAGAACAGAUUAUUGAAAAUGUAUCUCUGUAGUAUGUCCUUGUCCUCAUAUGUGCCCCUUUGUGGUUAAAGUUCACCUGUGUUAAUUCUAACAGUUUGGCUGGCUCUCUGGAGAUAUAUUUUUGUUUAUUUUGAAUUAAAAGUUAUAAUAUUGGCUUAAGGGAGCUGUUUGCAAGUGUAGAUAUGGAAUUAUGGAUUUCUAAGAAAUUUAAGGAAAGGAAGUUUGACUCUUGUGUUUAUUUGCAUCUUAAGGUAAAAAGUGGACCGUCUGGAGAUAGAUACUCAAAGGAAAAAUGGAGCACACUGGCCUCUUUGACUGAAAAAUCAAUCUUGUUCUUAAGUCAAAAGAAUUCAAAUGAACUUGUAAUUUAAAUUGUGCCCAGAGUGUGGUGAACUUCCUGUGGUGUUUGAGUAAGCCUUUGAAGACAGUAGUAGUUCCUGGGCAGGUAUGAAUUAAGUCAUGUCAUUGUCAACCUGGGGUUCAGAAACAGCAAGUGUUCUUAUUAAAACCUAAGUUCCAGCUGAUGGUAUAUGACUUCUAUAGCCAAAUCAGUGAGGUGAUUUGUGGUGAUGCCAAUUUCAUGGGGUCAUACUGAAGCUUCUUAGAGUUUAUGCUCUGGAAUUCUUUUAUAGCAUGUUCUGAGAACAAAGGUUUCUGAUUUGGGAUCCUUAAUGAUACCCACAGCAGGUUAUUUCCCGCCAUCUCACUUGCUUCCUUUUCUCUGCACUUAGAAUUGCCACCUCUCACUGAAUUGCUUUUUUGAUCUCAAUCCUCCAACACCUUUUCUUCCAGAAGAGCUUAAAGCAGCGCCUGGGUAAGAGUAACAUCCAGGCACGGUUAGGCCGACCCAUAGGGGCCCUGGCCAGGGGAGCAAUUGGAGGACGAGGUCUGCCCAUAAUCCAGAGAGGCUUAUCCAGAGGAGGACUACGUGGGGGACGUGCCACCAGAACCCUGCUUAGGGGCGGGAUGUCGCUCCGAGGUCAGUGCUUUGUGUACCUGAUAACUGUUGGGCCCUGUCCCCUUUCCUUUUCUCUUGGGCUGCUUAUGGACACAUUUGUUUAACAUCUUUAAUACUAAAUUUGUAUUAAUAUAAUUAAUAACUUUUGAAAUCACAUUUUUAGUAGUGCUGCAUGCCUUUUAUUGAUACCAUUCCUUUUCUGGUAAUGUGCAAUGGUGAGAGGCUAUGACCUGCAUAACAGGUAAUUCAUGUCAUCUCCAUUUCAUUUUAAAGCACCCUGCUGCUGCUUGAAUCAAAGCACAUUCAAGUUGUAGAAAUAAGUCAAGUUUAAGAAAUGUAUGUUAGCAUAUAUAUGAGGCCAUGGGUUCAAUCCCCAGCACCAAAAAAAUAAAGAAAUGUAUGGGUCUUCGGCCUAUAUCAAAACUAAACAUGUCUGUUCCUGGUGCUAGCACAACACUGUUAAUCAUCUGAAAGAAAGAGAGGAAAAGUUGACCAAUAGUACUUAACCUAUAUCUUGUAAUUUGGGCACUGCUAUUCUAUUCCCUGUAUAGUUUUUAAAUUUGUUAAAAGUAUGUACUUAAUUAACUCCCAACUUCCCAAGAUGGAUUUGUGGUCAGAAAUGUUGAACUGAUACAAAUAAUGAGCAACUUAAUCUGGUCACACUCUCAAGUGUGCAGCUUGCCCUACCCAGCUUACGAACUAACUGAAUUACUUUAAUUUAACCCUCACCGCCUUCCUUUGGUUAGAAUCUACUUUUGUUUCUCUUGGAUUUACCUGCAUAUACAUUGUAUGCCUCCUCUCCAAGGUCAAAACCUGCUCCGAGGUGGACGAGCCGUAGCUCCCCGAAUGGGCUUAAGAAGAGGUGGUGUUCGAGGUCGUGGAGGUCCUGGGAGAGGGGGCCUAGGGCGUGGAGCUAUGGGUCGUGGCGGAAUCGGUGGUAGAGGUUAGUCAGCUACCAACUUCAGAGAGUAGCUCCCCCUAUUUCCUUCCUUUAAAAACUCAGAGCCACCUUUCUGCACAGCUUCAAGUCACAGGCAGGCUUGUUUGUUUGUCUUGUUUUGUUUUUUGAAACUGGCUUAUUUCCUAAAUUCAC
RNAcentral lists this long non-coding RNA (5021 nucleotides) under Marmota monax (woodchuck). Lineage: Eukaryota; Metazoa; Chordata; Mammalia; Rodentia; Sciuridae. The record is from RNAcentral.